GGGUCAGUAGGUUGGUCGUGCCACCGGUACGUACUGGUCUCACUGAUUCCUCCUUCCUGAAGAACCGUAAUGCCAUUAAUUUGGUGUUGCGGGGAAACAGGACUGUUACUUUGAAAAAAUUAGAGUGUUUAAAGCAAGCUAACGCUUGAAUACAUUAGCAUGGGGUAAUGGAAUAGGACGAUCGAUCCUAUUUUGUUGGUUUCUAGGAUUGACGUA
This 216-nucleotide ribosomal RNA is filed under the name Glomeromycotina sp. RNAcentral's name for it is "partial small subunit ribosomal RNA". The stretch from base 40 to 216 matches the Rfam family "Eukaryotic small subunit ribosomal RNA", at positions 686 to 864 of the family's 1831-position model. The record is from RNAcentral. Lineage: Eukaryota; Fungi; Glomeromycota.